Molecule: transfer-messenger RNA, 298 nt
Filed under: Salmonella enterica
Lineage: Bacteria; Pseudomonadati; Pseudomonadota; Gammaproteobacteria; Enterobacterales; Enterobacteriaceae
Description: partial transfer-messenger RNA
Rfam family: transfer-messenger RNA
About the family: Bacterial tmRNA, also known as 10Sa RNA or SsrA, is named for its dual tRNA and mRNA-like properties. Its role is to liberate the mRNA from a stalled ribosome. To accomplish this part of the tmRNA is used as a reading frame that ends in a translation stop signal.
Source: RNAcentral
GGGGCUGAUUCUGGAUUCGACGGGAUUUGCGAAACCCAAGGUGCAUGCCGAGGGGCGGUUGGCCUCGUAAAAAGCCGCAAAAAAAUAGUCGCAAACGACGAAAACUACGCUUUAGCAGCUUAAUAACCUGCUUAGAGCCCUCUCUCCCUAGCCUCCGCUCUUAGGACGGGGAUCAAGAGAGGUCAAACCCAAAAGAGAUCGCGCGGAUGCCCUGCCUGGGGUUGAAGCGUUAAAACGAACUCAGGCUAGUCUGGUAGUGGCGUGUCCGUCCGCAGGUGCCAGGCGAAUGUAAAGACUG